AGGAGUUGGUAUCAGUGGUAAAGUGCCUGCUUUGUAUGUAUGGUAUCCUGGGUUCAAUCCCCAGCUUCUG
Molecule: non-coding RNA, 70 nt
Organism: Dallia pectoralis (Alaska blackfish)
Lineage: Eukaryota; Metazoa; Chordata; Actinopteri; Esociformes; Umbridae
Source: the annotation of a GenBank genome assembly